GCCCUGGAUCCCUGCUCAGCUCCCUCCUCCCAGCCAGAAAUUGUUAAUUCCUGAGCUGCCUCCAGCCCAGACCUCAUCACACUGGUCUCCGCCGCAGUGCAGCGCUGGGGCCGCGGAGCCUCCAGGCCCGGGGCAGGGCUGCUGGAGCAGCAGGGACGUUCCUCCCAGGUAAUGAUCAAGCAGAGCACCCGGCAAGGACAUAGGCAGUGGAGCCGGGAAGGCCACACAGAAGGAGCACCAUGAGGAGGGUGAGGACAGGCUGCUGGGGACUUUGGACCUGGCUCCUGGCUGUUGGGUUUGAGCCAUGCUGGCUGCAGACACUCAGACUGUGGCAGCUUCCAGCACCCGGAAGAGGGAGCCUCACAGCCAAGUGCCCUGGCCAGGAGCAGGCUGGGUGCACAGGUGAUGGAAUGGGCAUCUCCAUGAUCCUCACUGACCACUGCCUGGACACUAGGCAAGUCAUGAAGCAGCAAAGGGGAUGUUUCCUGUCUCAUCCUGAUUUAGAUGUGUCAAAAACCCAUUCACAACUGGACUGGAGGGUCCCCUGCCAAUAACAAGAUGGAUCUCCUCUCUCCAGGUGACUCCCUACUGUGUUCCCCAGAGGCCCCAGGAACUGCCCUCCCCACCUGCACUUUCCUGCCAGCAUCCUCCCAGACACCUGCCAGGGCCCCGGAGCACCGUGAAUGGGGCCUGGUGCCUGGCUGCACCUUGCUCUCCAUGACCUGGGUGGGCAGGUGCUGCCCCUCAGGGAUACUGGGUGCUUUCAACAGAUAAUGUGGAGUUGCUAACUGUCUCCUCUUGGGGUGCUGUGCCAACUAAACAAAGUGGAUGUAGAAGGCCCAUGAUGAAGCCUGGCAUGAGCAGGUCCUCUGUUAAAGGAAGGGGAUCAACGCAUCUGAGCACUUCCCAACCCAGAACCCUCUGCCCUGCCAUGAGCUCCCUGCCAACCCUGCACCCACCCCCUAUUUGCAAUUUCUGGGAAUGCCUCUUCUCAGUGCCCUGUGAAGCCUCAUCUGUUCCCCAGUCAGAACCAAGCCUUCCUUUCCCAUGCCCCUGGGGCAUCAUCCUCCAGUCAGGUGGUUGGGGAGAGGGUCAGCUUUGCCAGACCACCAGGAGCUGGAACCAGGACCCCAUCUUAAGGCAGGACCAACAAGGGAACUAGCAGCUACCACUCUGCUGGAGAGAGAGGGGACUUGUCCCCCAUGCUCUGCUCUGAGCAUGUCACAGGCCUGCUCCAAAACACUCAGGGGUCACUUUUGUCCAUGGUCAGGCCUCAGUGCAGAUGCUCUGUGCCCAGCUCCCCUUCUGUGCCCCCUGCUCCAGACUGAGCAGCUGCUGUCAUAGGGUGGGGUGGUGGGGUCCCCUCUCUAGAAUGUUGGGCCCUCUCCAUUUGACAUGUCUGUUUCCUGUGUGCCUUUCUUGCCACCUUGGCUUAAUCUCCUUUAUAAAGUCUGUCCCUCCAGUCCCCAGGAAUGGCCCUUGUCUCCUCUGACCCCAAGAGCCCCUCAUGGGAGCUUCUCUCCAGGCUUGGGUCACAGUCCUCCCAUGGACAGACUUAGCUGCCCCUACCCCACCUCUCCCACUGGACCACGGAUGCCCCCAAGAUGAGCCUAUUGUCUCUCUCCAGCCCAGCCCUGGACCCCAAGUGACCCCAAUGAGAAACCACCAAAGGCAAGAAGUCUGGGUGUGCAUGGAGCCCACAAGGAGAGCAAUGAAUGUGGCAAUGCAGUCCCAGGCAGGUGCUGGCUGGGACUGAGGCUGUGGGUGACAGACAUGGUGACAGGAAGAAGGACUUUACGGUCCUCUGAGGACCCAGGCCCUAGAACAGGAGGACCCAGCAGAACGUGGGACCCCUUGGCCUUGGUGUGUGAGGCCCUCACAGCCUCCCAUGAGGAUCAUGCUGAGUCCUCUAAGGACCUUCUGGCCUGAGGAUCCACACUCCUGACACACACACACCCAGACAUUACAGCUCUGCUCCCCCAGCUGAGGCAGGUCCUGUUCCCUGGGUGUGGAGACCCCAGCAAGGCUCCCCUCAGUGCAAAACAUGCUGGCCCAAUGCUGUGAGCCCUGCCAGGGUCCCCAUUAGGGGGAAGGAAGGAGCACAAGUUAAUUUAUGCCCAUGAGCUAUUACACACAAAGCUGUGUGUUUCACACUCUUUAUUUUCUGGGAUCCUAAUGAUGACAGCUCUGCACAUUCUAACUUAUUUAUCCCCAUUCAUUAGAAUAGAAAACUGCACUCAAAUGGAUUUUUCUAAUGGAGGAUCCACAGAUAAGAGACAGAACUGGGACUCCAACCCACCAUGGCCACCAGAGCAACCCCCCAAUGCCUCCUUGACCAUGAGUCCUUUGUUUCAAGGUGAAGUCCACCAAAAAAUAAAAUGAAAUGAAAUAAAAUAAAA
Molecule: long non-coding RNA, 2399 nt
Organism: Choloepus didactylus (southern two-toed sloth)
Lineage: Eukaryota; Metazoa; Chordata; Mammalia; Pilosa; Megalonychidae
Exons: 2
Source: RefSeq, a predicted model, not a curated record